UACGAAGGGGGCUAGCGUUGUUCGGAAUUACUGGGCGUAAAGCGCACGUAGGCGGGUUGUUAAGUCAGGGGUGAAAUCCCGGAGCUCAACUCCGGAACUGCCUUUGAUACUGGCAAUCUAGAGACUGGAAGAGGUUAGUGGAAUUCCCAGUGUAGAGGUGAAAUUCGUAGAUAUUGGGAAGAACCCCAGUGGCGAAGGCGGCUAACUGGUCCAGUACUGACGCUGAGGUGCGAAAGCGUGGGGAGCAAACAGG
RNAcentral lists this ribosomal RNA (253 nucleotides) under uncultured bacterium. RNAcentral's name for it is "partial 16S ribosomal RNA". It matches the Rfam family "Bacterial small subunit ribosomal RNA", at positions 524 to 776 of the family's 1533-position model. The record is from RNAcentral.